RNAcentral lists this ribosomal RNA (451 nucleotides) under uncultured bacterium. RNAcentral describes it as "partial 16S ribosomal RNA". It matches the Rfam family "Bacterial small subunit ribosomal RNA", at positions 354 to 796 of the family's 1533-position model. The record is from RNAcentral.
GUGGGGAAUAUUGGACAAUGGGGGGAACCCUGAUCCAGCCAUGCCGCGUGUGUGAAGAAGGCCUUUUGGUUGUAAAGCACUUUAAGCGAGGAGGAGGCUACCGAGAUUAAUACUCUUGGAUAGUGGACGUUACUCGCAGAAUAAGCACCGGCUAACUCUGUACCAGCAGCCGCGGUAAUACAGAGGGUGCAAGCGUUAAUCGGAUUUACUGGGCGUAAAGCGCGCGUAGGUGGCCAAUUAAGUCAAAUGUGAAAUCCCCGAGCUUAACUUGGGAAUUGCAUUCGAUACUGGUUGGCUAGAGUAUGGGAGAGGAUGGUAGAAUUCCAGGUGUAGCGGUGAAAUGCGUAGAGAUCUGGAGGAAUACCGAUGGCGAAGGCAGCCAUCUGGCCUAAUACUGACACUGAGGUGCGAAAGCAUGGGGAGCAAACAGGAUUAGAAACCCCAGUAGUCC